RNAcentral lists this long non-coding RNA (498 nucleotides) under Numida meleagris (helmeted guineafowl). RNAcentral describes it as "lncRNA (ENSNMEG00000004009.1)". The record is from RNAcentral. Lineage: Eukaryota; Metazoa; Chordata; Aves; Galliformes; Numididae.
UGGAUGUUGCACAGUAACAUCUGUGAAACAGCCACUCUGUAUUGCUUCCCAUUUGGAGGAAUGUAGGAAAAAAGCUAAACAGAGGCUGCUCUCCCUCUGGUUUUAUUUUUCAAGUUGUGUUUGUCUGCGAGUGAAGACUUGGAAACAGGAUUUGCGAUCUGAUGCUCGCUCCCGCUGACAGGCUGCACAGCUCUGGUUACAUCCAGAAGACUCAACUAUGUCCGUGAGCUCACGCAGCACUAAAGAUGGUCUCCAUUCCAGGAACUGGGCCCCAUAAGUGAAACGUGUGCUAGCUGAUCUCAAACAAUCUGCUUGCUUACGGCUGCGAAUGAAGAACAACAUGCUUUCAGAUCCAACACAAACCAUGGUGUGCACCAACUCUCUCAAGACUCACCUGCAAGACCCAGAGCCUCGAACUUGGCAGUGGAGCCUCCUGUCAACAUCUGGUCCAAGCCAGGAGAGGAGCUCGUAUCCCUCAGCUGAUAGUGAUAAAUCUUC